RNAcentral lists this unclassified non-coding RNA (323 nucleotides) under soil metagenome. RNAcentral's name for it is "partial contains 5.8S ribosomal RNA, internal transcribed spacer 2, and large subunit ribosomal RNA". The stretch from base 1 to 120 matches the Rfam family "5.8S ribosomal RNA", at positions 35 to 154 of the family's 154-position model. The record is from RNAcentral.
GAUGAAGAACGCAGCGAAAUGCGAUAAGUAGUGUGAAUUGCAGAAUUCAGUGAAUCAUCGAAUCUUUGAACGCACAUUGCGCCCCUUGGUAUUCCAUGGGGCAUGCCUGUUCGAGCGUCAUUUGUACCUUCAAGCUUUGCUUGGUGUUGGGUGUUUGUCCUGAGGGACUCGCCUUAAAGUAAUUGGCAGCCAGUGUUUGGUUUUGAAGCGCAGCACAAGUCGCGAUUCAAAGCUAUACGCCCGCUUCCACAAGCCUUUUUCACUUUUGACCUCGGAUCAGGUAUGGAUACCCGCUGAACUUAAGCAUAUCAAUAAGCGGAGGA